GGGCCCGUGGCUCAACGGUAGAGCAGCGAGAUGGCAUCUCGAAGGUUCGGGGUUCGAAUCCCCGCGGGUCCA
This 72-nucleotide transfer RNA is filed under the name Candidatus Wildermuthbacteria bacterium. RNAcentral's name for it is "tRNA-Ala". It matches the Rfam family "tRNA". Rfam says of the family: Transfer RNA (tRNA) molecules are approximately 80 nucleotides in length. Their secondary structure includes four short double-helical elements and three loops (D, anti-codon, and T loops). Further hydrogen bonds mediate the characteristic L-shaped molecular structure. tRNAs have two regions of fundamental functional importance: the anti-codon, which is responsible for specific mRNA codon recognition, and the 3' end, to which the tRNAs corresponding amino acid is attached (by aminoacyl-tRNA synthetases). tRNAs cope with the degeneracy of the genetic code in two manners: having more than one tRNA (with a specific anti-codon) for a particular amino acid; and 'wobble' base-pairing, i.e. permitting non-standard base-pairing at the 3rd anti-codon position. Lineage: Bacteria; Candidatus Wildermuthiibacteriota. The record is from RNAcentral.